UACGAAGGGGGCGAGCGUGGUUCGGAAUCACUGGGCGUAAAGAGCUCGUAGGUGGUUUGUCGCGUUGUCCGUGAAAACUCACAGCUUAACUGUGGGCGUGCGGGCGAUACGGGCAGACUGGAGUACUGCAGGGGAGACUGGAAUUCCUGGUGUAGCGGUGGAAUGCGCAGAUAUCAGGAGGAACACCGGUGGCGAAGGCGGGUCUCUGGGCAGUAACUGACGCUGAGGAGCGAAAGCGUGGGGAGCGAACAGG
Molecule: ribosomal RNA, 253 nt
Filed under: uncultured bacterium
Lineage: Bacteria
Description: partial 16S ribosomal RNA
Rfam family: Bacterial small subunit ribosomal RNA
Source: RNAcentral